GUCUAUGGCCAUACCACCCUGAACAUGCCCAAUCUCAUCUGGUCUGGGAAGCUAAGCAGGGUCGGGCCUGGUUAGUGCUUGGAAGGGAGAAAAAAGAACCUAUAUGCU
Molecule: ribosomal RNA, 108 nt
Filed under: Cricetulus griseus (Chinese hamster)
Lineage: Eukaryota; Metazoa; Chordata; Mammalia; Rodentia; Cricetidae
Source: RNAcentral